CAGUCCAUCAGGUUUGGUAUCAGCAGGUAGCAGGGUGGAGCUGAGCUGCUCCAGCAGAGCCAAACCUCCACCCAGCUUCACCUGGUUCAGGAACAACAAAGAUGGAGCCACUAAUGUGUCUGUGGGGCCGGUUUACAAAUUCAACUCUACUGAGGAAGAAAAGUUUCACUGUGUGGCUACAAAUGAUCUGGGUCAACAAAAAUCAUCUGUGAUUCUUGUUGAUAUUAAAGAUGAUCAAUCAUCUGAAUUCCAGAUCCUUAAUAUAUUGAAGAUCCUGGGGAUUGUAUUGCUCUGCACUAGCAUCAUCAUCUUUGAGUGCUGGUUCAGAUUCUCCAAGAAACCAAAGAAGGAAACAGAAGCGCCAACCUAUGUCAACAAUGCGAUGGUUACUAAAGCAUCAUGAGCCACAAAAAGACCAAGAAGAUGUCAAGGCCUCUGUCAGAGAGAGGAUUUAUUAUUUCUAUCCAAUUGUUCAAGUUUGUGUCUCAAGAAGCUUUUUUCUAUGUGCAAAGACCAAUAGGUGGAGGUCUGGAUACACUGUGGACGCGUCACCAGUCCAUCACAUCCCCAUUCAUUGUGCUUUAGAAAUUACUUACUAUUUCUUGACACUUAUUUUUGCACUUAAGUUUGGUACUAAUGGAGUAUGCUAAUGCUUUGUUGGAUUGCUGUGUCAAAAUAGAGGUCUCUUUCUAUUUCAGGUGUAAAACAUGCAAUGUAAAAUAAGAUAAUUAUAAUAACAAUACGUAUAUACAGUAUACUUCUGUAAAACAAGUAUGAACUGGAUGUCAGAAGCAUUUGUUAUUAUUUCAGGCCAUAUUACCCCAAAUUGAGCAGAUGAAACUAAAAUAACCUCACAGUUUUAAUAUUGUUUAUUUUCAUAUUUUCAUAUCUUUUAUUGUUAUUAGUCACAAAUGACACAACACAUAAGUUACACAGAUUUGAAGUCAGCUCAGCUACGUGAACACACGUAUCAAAAACUCUUUCUUAUCUUGCUUUUU
Long non-coding RNA from Xiphophorus hellerii (green swordtail), 998 nucleotides. RefSeq lists it as uncharacterized. NCBI's taxonomy places the organism in Eukaryota, Metazoa, Chordata, Actinopteri, Cyprinodontiformes, Poeciliidae. The transcript is spliced from 4 exons. The record is from RefSeq and is a predicted model, not a curated record.